AAUGAAAAUUUCAUAAACAGUUUAAUUGCAUCUCAACAGCACUCUUCAUACAGAGGUAUCGUCUUCUCUGUUGAAGCCCCAGCCUCUUCCACCACCGCGAUUUUCUUCCGGGAGAAUUCGCAGCAUACCUCCACCUUCCAGAUCUACGAACUUGCGGAUUCGUAGCGUUUUAGCUGCUCGUUCUAUCCCCACUCGCUAGCGUCCUCCGCGUCUUCCCUUUCCCAUCAGGAAAAAAUGCCUCUCCGGCUAGAAAUCAAGAGAAAAUUCGCUCAAAGGUCGGAAAGAGU
Phalaenopsis equestris is the source of this 287-nucleotide long non-coding RNA. RefSeq lists it as uncharacterized. The transcript is spliced from 3 exons. Lineage: Eukaryota; Viridiplantae; Streptophyta; Magnoliopsida; Asparagales; Orchidaceae. The record is from RefSeq and is a predicted model, not a curated record.